RNAcentral lists this ribosomal RNA (527 nucleotides) under Latidens salimalii (Salim Ali's fruit bat). RNAcentral's name for it is "partial 16S ribosomal RNA". It matches the Rfam family "Bacterial large subunit ribosomal RNA", at positions 1845 to 2599 of the family's 2925-position model. Lineage: Eukaryota; Metazoa; Chordata; Mammalia; Chiroptera; Pteropodidae. The record is from RNAcentral.
AUUGGAGGCCUGCCUGCCCAGUGACAUCUGUUAACGGCCGCGGUAUCCUGACCGUGCAAAGGUAGCAUAAUCAUUUGUUCUCUAAAUAAGGACUUGUAUGAACGGCCACACGAGGGUUUAACUGUCUCUUACUUCCAAUCAGUGAAAUUGACCUUCCCGUGAAGAGGCGGGAAUAAUUAAAUAAGACGAGAAGACCCUAUGGAGCUUUAAUUAAUUAACCCAUAAAUAAAUAACCACAAUCCAAGGAAACAAACCCCUUAUUUAAUGGGUUAACAAUUUAGGUUGGGGUGACCUCGGAAUACAAAACAACUUCCGAGUGAUUAAAUUUUAGACCAACAAGUCAAAAUACUAAAUCAUUCAUUGAUCCAAAGCCUUGAUCAACGGAACAAGUUACCCUAGGGAUAACAGCGCAAUCCUAUUUGAGAGUCCAUAUCGAUAAUAGGGUUUACGACCUCGAUGUUGGAUCAGGACAUCCUAAUGGUGCAGCCGCUAUUAAUGGUUCGUUUGUUCAACGAUUAAAGUCCUAC